GACGAACGCUGGCGGCGUGCCUAAUACAUGCAAGUCGAACGAACCGCGACUAAGUGCUUGCACUAAGUCAAGGUGAGUGGCGAACGGGUGAGUAACACGUGGGUAACCUACCUCAUAGUGGGGGAUAACAGUCGGAAACGACUGCUAAUACCGCAUAGGACAUAGGAUCACAUGAUCCAGUGAGGAAAGGUGGCGCAAGCUAUCGCUAAGAGAUGGACCCGCGGUGCAUUAGCUAGUUGGUAGGGUAAAGGCCUACCAAGGCGAUGAUGCAUAGCCGACCUGAGAGGGUGAUCGGCCACAUUGGGACUGAGACACGGCCCAAACUCCUACGGGAGGCAGCAGUAGGGAAUCUUCCGCAAUGGACGCAAGUCUGACGGAGCAACGCCGCGUGAGUGAAGAAGGUCUUCGGAUCGUAAAGCUCUGUUGUUAGAGAAGAACAGCGCAUAGAGUAACUGCUAUGCGUGUGACGGUAGCUAACCAGAAAGCCACGGCUAACUACGUG
This 502-nucleotide ribosomal RNA is filed under the name uncultured bacterium. RNAcentral describes it as "partial 16S ribosomal RNA". It matches the Rfam family "Bacterial small subunit ribosomal RNA", at positions 28 to 507 of the family's 1533-position model. The record is from RNAcentral.